Molecule: small RNA, 502 nt
Filed under: uncultured Glomus
Lineage: Eukaryota; Fungi; Glomeromycota; Glomeromycetes; Glomerales; Glomeraceae
Description: SSU rRNA
Rfam family: Eukaryotic small subunit ribosomal RNA
Source: RNAcentral
AGCAGCCGCGGUAAUUCCAGCUCCAAUAGCGUAUAUUAAAGUUGUUGCAGUUAAAAAGCUCGUAGUUGAAUUUCGGGAUCAAUUGAUUGGUCAUGCCUUGGUAUGAACUGGUCAUAUUGGUUCUCACCUUCUAAUGAACCAUAAUGUCAUUCACUUGAUGUUAUGGGGAAUUAGGACUGUUACCUUGAAAAAAUUAGAGUGUUUAAAGCAGGCUUACGCUUGAAUACAUUAGCAUGGAAUAAUGAAAUAGGACAUCGCAUUCUAUUUUGUUGGUUUCUAGGAUCGAUGUAAUGAUUAAUAGGGAUAGUUGGGGGCAUUAGUAUUCAAUUGUCAGAGGUGAAAUUCUUGGAUUUAUUGAAGACUAACUACUGCGAAAGCAUUUGCCAAGGAUGUUUUCAUUAAUCAAGAACGAAAGUUAGGGGAUCGAAGACGAUCAGAUACCGUCGUAGUCUUAACCAUAAACUAUGCCGACUAGGGAUCGGAUGAUGUUAAUUUUUAAAUG